This 95-nucleotide ribosomal RNA is filed under the name Microcebus murinus (gray mouse lemur). Lineage: Eukaryota; Metazoa; Chordata; Mammalia; Primates; Cheirogaleidae. The record is from RNAcentral.
GUCUACAGCCAUACCACCCUGAACACACCCAAUCUUGUCUGGUCUUGGAAGUUAAGUGGGGUCAGGCCUGGUUUGGAUGGGAGAAAUUAUAUAUA